AGAUACCCUAUUAUACUGAUAAAUAAAUAAAAAUACCAGAUUAUUAAUAGAUAUAUUCUUGAAAUUUAAAGAAUUUGGCGGUGAUUUAGUCUAAUCAGAGGAACCUGUUUUUUAAUCGAUAAACCACGUAAAAUCUUGCUUACUUUAUAAGUUAAGUUUGUAUACCGUCAUUAACAGAUAAUUUUUAGAGAAAGAAAUUAUUAAGGACAAAAUGUAUUUAAUUGAUUAAAUUAGAUCAAGGUGCAGCUCAUGAGUAAGUUAAAAUGGGUUACAAUAAAUUUUAUUUAUUAUGAAUAUUUAGUGGAAGGCAUUAAUUGGAAGGAGGAUUUGAUUGUAAUGUAAGUUUAAUAUGCUUAGGUGACAUGAGCUCUAAAUCAUGUACAUAUCGCCCGUCACUCUCAAAA
RNAcentral lists this ribosomal RNA (404 nucleotides) under Carpilius convexus. RNAcentral describes it as "partial 12S ribosomal RNA". Lineage: Eukaryota; Metazoa; Arthropoda; Malacostraca; Decapoda; Carpiliidae. The record is from RNAcentral.